ACCCGCUGAACUUAAGCAUAUCAAUAAGCGGAGGAAAAGAAACCAACAGGGAUUGCCCUAGUAACGGCGAGUGAAGCGGCAACAGCUCAAAUUUGAAAUCAGGCUCUUUCAGAGUCCGAGUUGUAAUUUGCAGAGGGCGCUUUGGCUUUGGCAGCGGUCCAAGUUCCUUGGAACAGGACGUCACAGAGGGUGAGAAUCCCGUACGUGGUCGCUAGCUAUUGCCGUGUAAAGCCCCUUCGACGAGUCGAGUUGUUUGGGAAUGCAGCUCUAAAUGGGAGGUAAAUUUCUUCUAAAGCUAAAUAUUGGCCAGAGACCGAUAGCGCACAAGUAGAGUGAUCGAAAGAUGAAAAGCACUUUGGAAAGAGAGUCAAACAGCACGUGAAAUUGUUGAAAGGGAAGCGCUUGCAGCCAGACUUGCUUGCAGUUGCUCAUCCGGGCUUUUGCCCGGUGCACUCUUCUGUAGGCAGGCCAGCAUCAGUUUGGGCGGUGGGAUAAAGGUCUCUGUCACGUACCUCUCUUCGGGGAGGCCUUAUAGGGGAGACGACAUACCACCAGCCUAGACUGAGGUCCGCGCAUCUGCUAGGAUGCUGGCGUAAUGGCUGU
RNAcentral lists this ribosomal RNA (603 nucleotides) under uncultured fungus. Its description in RNAcentral is "eukaryotic LSU rRNA". It matches the Rfam family "Eukaryotic large subunit ribosomal RNA", at positions 23 to 641 of the family's 3401-position model. The record is from RNAcentral. Lineage: Eukaryota; Fungi.